Molecule: long non-coding RNA, 1572 nt
Filed under: Homo sapiens (human)
Lineage: Eukaryota; Metazoa; Chordata; Mammalia; Primates; Hominidae
Description: HSALNT0050237
Source: RNAcentral
UCAGCAGCUCAGAAUGUGACCUAUUUAAAAAUAGGGUCAUUACAGGUAUAACUAGUUAAAUUAAGAUAUGGUCAUAGGGUGUGCCCUAAUCCAUUAUGACUGGUAUUCUCAUAAAAAUAGGAAAUGCGGAGACAGACACAUGUACUCACUCAGGCAGAACACCAUGUGAAAAUGAAGGCAACAAGCUGUAACCCAAGGAAAUUCCAAAGAUCGCAGGCAAACCACAAGAAGGUAGAAGAAUAGGAUGGAACAGUGGCUCACAGCUCUCAGAAGUAAUCAACCUGCCAACUUGGAUUUUGGCCUUCUAACAUCCAGAAAUGUAGUCUUCCUGAAGUAAAGAUGCAAAGCCAACAGAUGGAGAGAAACAGAGGUUCACGGGCAUACAGGGAAUGCAGCAUGUGAAGAUGGAGGAUGAGAGAUGAGCUUGGAGUUAUGCUCCCACAAGCUGCAGAACAACUGGGGCUAACAGAAGCUGAGAGAUGCGACCCUCCCCUAGAGGUUACAGACGGAGCACAGCCCUACCAACACCUGAUUUUGGACUUCUGGCCUCUAGAAGUGUGAGAGAAUAAACUUCUGUCAUUUUAAGUCACCCUGUGUAUGGUACUUUGCUGUGGCAGUCCUAAGAAACUAAUACAAGCAUCUGCUAUGAACAAGACACCAGGAAUAUUGCUCAGGUAAUAGUGGAGAAAAGGACAAAGACUCUGCCUUAAGUAUGCUAAUAGGUUAUUCAGUGCAACAAGAGUAAUAUAAACAAAACUAUAAACAGGUAUUGUUUGUUGGGAGAGUUUUAAGUGAUUUGAUAUUACUGUAGAAAUAAAAAGUGUAGAAAUAAAAAUAAAAAAUAAAAAACUGAGUAGAAAGUUGAGUAGUAGACAGAUUAUUUUUAAAAAGAGUUUGGGAUUAACCUUGUUGAUAUGAGUUAUGGAUUAUGGUUUAAAGUAGAAAAUGAUAUGUUUAUACUUUUAACAGGUCACUCUGAUAUCAGCAAUGUAAUUUAUUUGUUCUGGGUAAUACCAGAAUAGACCAGUUAGGAAGGAAGAGUAAGAGGCGAAGCAAGAGAGAAAAGGAGGAUCUGAAUGGAGGCAGUAAAACCAACAAUGACUUUCAAGCCAAAUGAGUUUGAACGUCAACCACUGUAGAAGGGGCUAUAUGAAACCAAUGUUUUAAAAAAGAAUAUUGCUUAAGGCAGUGCACUAACAAAAAAGAAAAAUCUGCAAAAAUAGGUUAAAAAAAGAUAGGUAAAAAUUAGUCCUUCUACUUAGAAACCAAGGAUAUAAUGUAGAGGUAACAUGAACACACACACACACACACACACACACACGCACACAUUGAGUUGUUACUGGUGUAGGAGCCAGGGACAAAUUUACAUGUGAGAGCUGCCUGAAUAGCUGGGCUAAGAGCAUGGGAGAUGUGAGAGUCCUAUUCAGGUGUCAUAGAAGAAAAAGAGAUUUCCACAAAGGGAGUAAUUUUAAGUCCUGAUUUAGCUGGGCAUUUGCAAUUCACCAUGACUUAAGAUUUGUUUUUGACAAACUCAUGAUUUCCCAAUCUAUUGUGUUAGAAAACCAUUAAAAU